RNAcentral lists this ribosomal RNA (465 nucleotides) under uncultured bacterium. RNAcentral describes it as "bacterial SSU rRNA". It matches the Rfam family "Bacterial small subunit ribosomal RNA", at positions 338 to 795 of the family's 1533-position model. The record is from RNAcentral.
CCUACGGGGGGCUGCAGUAGGGAAUCUUCCGCAAUGGACGAAAGUCUGACGGAGCAACGCCGCGUGAGCGAAGAAGGUCUUCGGAUCGUAAAGCUCUGUUGUUAGGGAAGAACAAGUACGGGAGGAAAUGACCGUACCUUGACGGUACCUAACGAGGAAGCCACGGCUAACUACGUGCCAGCAGCCGCGGUAAUACGUAGGUGGCAAGCGUUGUCCGGAAUUAUUGGGCGUAAAGCGCGCGCAGGCGGUCUUUUAAGUCUGAUGUGAAAUCUUGCGGCUCAACCGCAAGCGGUCAUUGGAAACUGGUAUGGUUGAGUGAAGAAGAGGAAAGCGGAAUUGCACGUUUAGCGGUGAAUUGCGUAGAGAUCGUGAAGGAGACCAGUGGCGAAGGCGGCCGGCUGGGCUUUAACUGACGCUGAGGCACGAAAGCGUGGGUAGCAAACAGGAUUAGAUACCCCAGUAGUC